UUUGAGGUCAUACAGCGAGAAUUGUCUCAA
RNAcentral lists this non-coding RNA (30 nucleotides) under Rattus norvegicus (Norway rat). The record is from RNAcentral. Lineage: Eukaryota; Metazoa; Chordata; Mammalia; Rodentia; Muridae.